UUAUCAAGUUCAAUAUUCAGGUCACGAAUUUAACAUUUUCAAUUUGUGGGAUGGAAAUAUUUGAAAAUUACAAGGAGCUUGAAAAGUAGUAUUUAGUCUACUGAAAACAAUUUUUUCGCUUCAUGUGUUUCGCUAACCAAGUUAGCAUCAUCAGGAGUUGUCUAGAGUCUAGACUGUCUAAGAGGAGAUAUAACAGAAUUACCUCAUUAUGUGUUUUACACCAAAUAAUAAACCAUAUUGAAAAAUUUUUUCCAUCUUGCUGAGACGUUUUGGGAUCCAAAACAAAAAAUUCAGUUCUACUCGACCAUAGAGGUAGAAGUCAAUGUGAACCGCCAAGUUUGUCGGCUUCUUGCUAAACUGCCGAAUCCCAUCAAAGAGGAAGAGGGACUCUCUUUAAUCAACGUUCUCACCGAUAGAUCUCUCAGUUCGUUGAAGAAUGACAAGGACUUUCUGUGCCACCUCAUUCUGAUCAAGAAUCCCAAGAUAUGCCAAGUGUUGGCCCGAAAAAUAACAACAAGCUCUUGAGUGAUUGUGUUAGUGUUUUCUAUAUUUGUAUUUAUUUAAAAUAAAACACAAGUUUUGUAUUAAA
This is a long non-coding RNA of Leptinotarsa decemlineata (Colorado potato beetle), 589 nucleotides long. The record is from RefSeq and is a predicted model, not a curated record. NCBI's taxonomy places the organism in Eukaryota, Metazoa, Arthropoda, Insecta, Coleoptera, Chrysomelidae.